AUAUAUAAAUGUUAUUAAGGACAUAUAUGAGGGGGAGGUCACAAGUGUGUGAACUGUGGGAGACUACGCACCAUUGCUUAUGGUUCAGACUAUGCACUUUGUAGAGAUGGUAGAUUGGUUCCCUCCAUUUUGUCCAAUAAUCUCUUUAUUUUAGACAAGGAGAUGUUUCAUAGAGGAUGUGAAAAUCAAUGAAAUUAUUCUUAAGCCUAAUUGAUAAGGAUCCUAGUCUAAAUUUGAAAUAUGAAAAUAAGAUUUGGAAGAAGACAACAAAGCAUAGAAAACAACACUUUGUAGAUAAGCUAACUAAGAUACUCUAGCGUAG
Molecule: unclassified non-coding RNA, 322 nt
Filed under: Hevea brasiliensis (rubber tree)
Lineage: Eukaryota; Viridiplantae; Streptophyta; Magnoliopsida; Malpighiales; Euphorbiaceae
Source: RNAcentral